This 497-nucleotide ribosomal RNA is filed under the name uncultured bacterium. Its description in RNAcentral is "partial 16S ribosomal RNA". It matches the Rfam family "Bacterial small subunit ribosomal RNA", at positions 28 to 507 of the family's 1533-position model. The record is from RNAcentral.
GACGAACGCUGGCGGCGUGCCUAAUACAUGCAAGUAGAACGCUGAAGAGAGGAGCUUGCUCUUCUUGGAUGAGUUGCGAACGGGUGAGUAACGCGUAGGUAACCUGCCUUGUAGCGGGGGAUAACUACUGGAAACGAUAGCUAAUACCGCAUAACAAUGGAUGUCACAUGUCAUUUAUUUGAAAGGGGCAAUUGCUCCACUACAAGAUGGACCUGCGUUGUAUUAGCUAGUAGGUGAGGUAAUGGCUCACCUAGGCGACGAUAGAUAGCCGACCUUAGAGGGGGAUCGGCCACCACGGGAAUGAGACAAGGGCCAGGCCCCUACGGGAAGCAGCAGUAGGGAAUCUUCGGCAAUGGGGGCAACCCUGACCGGGCAACGGCGCGUGAGUGAAGGAGGUUUUCGGAUCGUAAAGCUCUGUUGUAAGUCAAGAACGGAUGUGAGAGUGGAAAGUUCACACUGUGACGGUAGCUUAUCAGAAAGGGACGGCUAACUACGUG